This is a long non-coding RNA of Lineus longissimus, 3019 nucleotides long. RefSeq lists it as uncharacterized. Lineage: Eukaryota; Metazoa; Nemertea; Pilidiophora; Heteronemertea; Lineidae. The transcript is spliced from 3 exons. The record is from RefSeq and is a predicted model, not a curated record.
UUGUCCAGCCAAAUUUGCCUACAUGAAAGAUGGCCAGCAUAGUAAUGUGCAUGUCCAUGCGAACGAUUGUUUACCUCGCAUGCAAAUAUUUCGGCCUGCUCGUUGCUGAUUGGAUAAUAGGAUAUUAGUAGCCCCGCGUCAUGCACGACGUCACACGAUAUUAUUAAAUCAUUAGCGGACUGAUAUCCGAGUUCUUCAGAAGUGAUAAAGGGCUGUUUGUUUAUUUGAGGAAGAUGCGUUUUAAAGUGUCCAAACAUGUAAUAAAUUAUUUGAAGACGGUUUGUGUGUUUUUAUUGACAUUCGGUGCAUUUAACGCAGCAGUUUAAGUUACGUUGAUGUAAAGUAGUGCCGAGUAGAAGUUUUUGCAACGGGCCAAAUUAACUGCGCAGAAUCGCUAGAAUAAGAAACUGGAGAGUUUUCAAUCACCUCAUCAUACUCAUGACCUGGUAGUCAAAAUCAUAGUGGAAAAAAGGUACCAAGGUUUCUACAAGUUCAACUACUGCACUAACACCAAAAAAAGAUCACACACAAAAUCAGAUGCAAGGGUACCUACACCAGGAGAGAAAAAAUUCAUCACAUUCGAGCUUCAAGUACAGCAGGACCAGUAUUGCCAUGGCAUUACCUUUGAUCCCGACAUCUUCAGGACUGUUAUGUUAACACUUAUGCAGGAAAAAAAUCCAGUCAUGAUUGAAAACUACAAUUUGAUUCCAUCUCGUUUGAAUCCAGGUCAACAAGAUCUCAAACUCACAUCCAAAUCCAAAAUGACUCCAAUAUCCCACCAGCUGCAUUAUGAGCACAAACCACCCACACCGUUUACAACAGAACUUGAAAAAAUUGCCACCAUUUCACCAAAUACUAAAAUCAAUGUUCAAGUUGUCAUUCUUGGUGAAAACCCAAAAUGUGGAACUAAAACUGUCGCCUCUGGACCAAUAAGAAUGCAAACAAAGUAUGUUGCUGAUGACACUGGUAUCACUAACCUGUCCACAUGGGACAAAAAUAUUGAUCAGCUUCAGGUCAAUGACACUUACAGGUUGGAAAAUGUGUCUGUCAAAUUCUUUGAGAAAGAAAAGCACCUGUCAACUACACCACAAACCACUAUCACUAACAUUCCACCAUUAACCAAUUAUGUCAAAUUGGAAACUGCAACUAUUCAGGCCGAAAUUGUUGCCAUACAAAUAACAACAAAAUAUCAGUGUCUAUCAUGCAGUCACCCAAAUGCUUUCAUCUCUAAUACUGGCACAAGAUGUCGUUGUGACCAUUGUGGCAACCAGCAACUUGCACUUAAAGCCAAGAAAAUCUUCCAGGGCGAUGGCACAUUUCAAACACAAACUCAGGAAACUUACAAACUUGCAUUCAGAUCUGAUACUUUGGACGAAAUUCUUGAUGCUAUCAAAGCAUCCACAGCGUCAUCCACAUCAGAACAUAUGAGAUGCCGUCAGCUGAGCAUAUUGAGUCAUUCCUUCUUGAAUACGAUGACAACUUCACCGUCACAUACUAUCCUAGAAUGAAUAUAAUCUCCACUCUCACAACCAGUCAAUAAAGCAGCAACCUGUACCUUUCUACAUGCAAAAUAGCCUGAACAGUUAACAACAUUUUGCAUCACAGGCCUCCAUCGUUGUAAGAGGGCAACCAGCAAAAUUACUCGACAUGUCUACAUUUCAUUUUAGCAAUUCAUAAUCUUGUCAUAGCAGUUAUUGCUUCAGUGUUAUAUUAUCAUCAUGCAUACGCAUUUGUAAUCUUCAGCAUUUUAGAUCAUUAGUGUUACUUUAUAUAUUACAUUUCAUAACUGAUCUGUGUUUUUAACAUUACUGAUUUCAAUCAUUGCGAAUACUUCCUGUAGCUGUAGUAUUACAUGUAUCCUUGGAAAGGCAUCAUUUCCAAUCAUUGUACUCACAACUUCAUCACUGCUGUUAUUUCAUAUGUUCUCAUCUAUCAUUUCAAUCAUUGGAAAUAUUUCAUUCUAUAUCACCCUUGCUUAGAUAUAAUUCUGUAUCAAUCCAUCUCGUAAUUUCAAUCAUUGCGAAUACUUCCUCUACCUGUAGUAUUACAUGUAUCCUUGGAAAGGCAUCCUUGGAAAGGUAUCAUUUCCAAACAUUGUACUCACAACUUCAUCACUGCUGUUAUUUCAUUUUUGAUUACAUUAAUUUUACCUAUGAUUACAAAUCAGAGUAUGUUAAUUUCAAUCAGUUGCUGGACACCUACAAUUAUUUUCAAUAAAUAAAUGUUAACUUUACACAUCUGCUCAAUUCCUUCUCAUUUCUUAGCAGAUUCUUGAUUUAGCUCAGGAACUGUCACAUUACCACAUGUGUCACAUUGGCACAUGCUCAAUACUCCUUCGACAACUUUCAAUGGACACAACGGUCGCCAAAAGUUCAAACAAAGUUUCUUUCAAUAUCUGCCAACCAUUGUGAUCAUUCAAAGCACUAUUAUAUCAUUUCGCAAAAACCUAUGCAGUGAUUGGACAUCAAUGUCAUUUCAUACUCAACAGAACAAAGUAAAACAAGGUGUCUGCUGAGCUCUUUCAAGAUUCUUUAAUCCCAUCCAGUAAUUUAGUGACACACUCCCAAACCUAAUGUACCGGUAGAACGAAUUUCUUGCCCUCACAGGAUGCGACCCAUCCUCUUGCAAACAGGGUCAAACAUGACUCCUCAUCAUUCAUAGCCCACACAAGUAUUGCAUGUCUGCAACAACAUAUGCUUGUGUGCAAUGUAUGUCUGUAUGUCUGUGGAAUAAAAAAUCUCGCAUCAAUCAAGUCAAAAAGUCCAACCUCUUUCCACAAUUGCUUCCGGCAAUCACCUGCAGUAUGGCUUCACAACGAGAAAAAUGCAUUGGCUUGCUAGUCUCUGUAAUGAGCACAUGGCAGAGACUAGUGGCGAGACUCCAUACAACCCAUUUACUACAUACCAGCAAUGUACACUGGUACAACAGUGGUACCUCCUACAUUUUCUGCACCACAUUCCCCUCAUCAAGCAGAAUGUCUAAUUAUUCCACCAGCGGAGCUAUCCAGGCCGUCAGGCCU